Long non-coding RNA from Bufo gargarizans (Asiatic toad), 981 nucleotides. RefSeq lists it as uncharacterized. The record is from RefSeq and is a predicted model, not a curated record. The transcript is spliced from 3 exons. Lineage: Eukaryota; Metazoa; Chordata; Amphibia; Anura; Bufonidae.
UUUCCCCUCUGCUCCUAUUCCUCCCUUUUUACUUCUCUUUAUUGGCCCUUUCCUUUAUACUCUUGUCCCUCUAUUCACCCCUUUAACCCUCCCUCUCCACCACCACACAGGGAAGGGGAACACCAAAUUUCGGCUCUGUGCAGCCGGAAAACUUAAUCAAAUAGCAGUAAAGCCACGAUAGUUAAUUUCUCACGUGGCCCAACGAGGGAGGCGAGGAUCCUCAGGAUGAAAAAAGAUCCAGAUGACAAGUGGCCACUUCAGGGAGGAGGAAAACUGCAGGCAAACGGUUUUCAGGUGAAAAAAUGAAAAAAUCCCACCGGUCACCAGCAGGGGGAGCCAGCAGCAAGCGAACCAGAGGGCUGGUGAACAGCUGAGCAGAGAACUCCAAUCCGAGCACACCCACACCGCAGAGGAGAGAAGGCAGCAGAGAAGGGAGACGGACGAUCCGGACGAGAGAAGGCCCAGCAGCAGGAACACAGAAGAGGAGACCAGCGUCAGGAACCGGAGCCAGAGGCCAGAGAGGAGCAACAGGAGCCAGCAACCAGCAGCCAGAUCGUUAUAGCCGUUGGAGCCUGCGGCUGGGAGGAUUUUUUGCACCCUUAACUUUGGUCUUGUGCAGCCUCUGAAUGAAAGCUAGAAUACUGUCAUUCCCAGUGAUCAAUGAGGUGGGAGCCCUUCUUCUGCCAUCUGCUUCUCCUCCUUUUCCACAUCAUCCAAUAUUGAUGAGAAUGUCAUCAGGAACAUCCAGCUCCUCCUCUCUCUGCAUCUUUGUGACUUUUCUACGACAUGGAGACUUUAAAGAAUGAUUUGGAAGAAGAAAAGCCAGCAAAAGAUGAGGAUGGUCAUCAUUAGGACCUGGCCCAUCUAAGGGGUGUAGACUGGAGGGUAUUGGUUGGCACAAUGGCACCAGAAUAAUAAAGGCUUCCAUCUUAUUUGUAUUGAAUUACAUUUACAGCUGAUGUAGGAAAAGUAAAUGUAGGA